RNAcentral lists this ribosomal RNA (460 nucleotides) under uncultured bacterium. RNAcentral's name for it is "bacterial SSU rRNA". It matches the Rfam family "Bacterial small subunit ribosomal RNA", at positions 29 to 473 of the family's 1533-position model. The record is from RNAcentral.
AACGAACGGUAGCGGCGUGGAUUAGGCAUGCAAGUCGAACGGGAUCCAGGCUUCGGUCUGGUGAGAGUGGCGAAAGGGUGAGUAACGCCUAGAUAACCUACCUUUGGCUCCGGGAUAACCGAGGGAAGCUUCGGCUAAUACCGGAUAGGGUCGGCGGAUCGCAUGAUCUGCCGAAUAAAGAGGCCUCUGAAUAUGCUAUUCGGCCAAAGACGGGUCUAGGUCCUAUCAGCUAGUUGGUGAGGUGACGGCUCACCAAGGCGACGACGGGUAGCCGGCCUGAGAGGGCGAUCGGCCACACUGGAACUGAGAUACUGUCCAGACUCCUACGGGAGGCUGCAGUCGAGAAUCUUCCGCAAUGGGGGCAACCCUGACGGAGCGACGCCGCGUGCGGGACGAAGGCCUUCGGGUUGUAAACCGCUGUCGUAGGUUAAGAAGUACCUUGUCGUGAAAGCGACUUGGU